RNAcentral lists this ribosomal RNA (589 nucleotides) under uncultured bacterium. Its description in RNAcentral is "partial 16S ribosomal RNA". It matches the Rfam family "Bacterial small subunit ribosomal RNA", at positions 355 to 1376 of the family's 1533-position model. The record is from RNAcentral.
UGGGGAAUUUUGGACAAUGGGCGAAAGCCUGAUCCAGCAAUGCCGCGUGUGUGAAGAAGGCCUUCGGGUUGUAAAGCACUUUUGUCCGGAAAGAAAUCCUUGGCUCUAAUACAGUCGGGGGAUGACGGUACCGGAAGAAUAAGCACCGGCUAACUACGUGCCAGCAGCCGCGGUAAUACGAGGGGUGCAAGCGUUAUUCGGAAUUAUUGGGCGUAAAGGGUGCGUAGGCGGCGUAUUAAGUCAACUGUUAAAACCUCCAGCCUAACUGGAGAUCAGCAGUAGAUACUGGUAUGCUAGAGGAUGGAAGAGAGAAGUGGAAUUCUUGGAGUAGCGGUGGAAUGCGUAGAUCUCAAGAGGAACACCAAUGGCGAAGGCAGCUUCUUGGUCCAUAUCUGACGCUGAUGCACGAAAGCGUGGGGAGCAAACAGGAUUAGAUACCCUGGUAGUCCACGCCGUAAACGAUGAUCACUAGAUGUUAAUUCUGCUUGCAGAAUUAGUGUCGUAGCUAACGCGAUAAGUGAUCCGCCUGGGGACUACGGUCGCAAGAUUAAAAGCUCAAAGGAAUUGACGGGGUCAUAGCUGUUUCCUG